Molecule: ribosomal RNA, 342 nt
Filed under: uncultured myxomycete
Lineage: Eukaryota; Evosea; Eumycetozoa
Description: partial 18S ribosomal RNA
Source: RNAcentral
UCUGAAUCUGCGNACGGCUCCGCAAACCAGUUGUAAACCAGCGUGAAUUCGCCUGGGUCUGCCUCUCACGGGGUGGGCCCGGCUUAUAUGGAUAUCCCUGGCAAUUCUGAGGUUAACACAUGCCAUUAAAACCUGCUUGACCUGGGGGUCUGGUGCGUACCGCAAGGCGGCGCCGCUCGGGGAAGGCGGGGGGCGUGUGGAGAGCUCGGAAGACACCGGGAAGGGGCACACGUUCAGACCUAUACCUAUAUGGGGGGGCAGGGCGAGGGCUAACGAACGACCCUUUAGCUCGGUCCCCUUUGGUGGUCACACGGUGCUUCUGACCUAUCAACUAGACGGCAG